CCUACGGGCGGCAGCAGUGAGGAAUAUUGGUCAAUGGACGUAAGGCUGAACCAGCCAUGUCGCGUGAAGGAAGAAGGAUCUAUGGUUUGUAAACUUCUUUUAUAGGGGAAUAAAGGUUUCCACGUGUGGAUAUUUGAAUGUACCCUAUGAAUAAGCAUCGGCUAACUCCGUGCCAGCAGCCGCGGUAAUACGGAGGAUGCGAGCGUUAUCCGGAUUUAUUGGGUUUAAAGGGUGCGUAGGUGGUUUGUUAAGUCAGCGGUGAAAGUUUGUGGCUCAACCAUAAAAUUGCCGUUGAAACUGGAAGACUAGAGUGUGUUUGCGGUAGGCGGAAUGUGUGGUGUAGCGGUGAAAUGCAUAGAGAUCACGCAGAACACCGAUUGCGAAGGCAGCUUACUAAGCCAUAACUGACACUGAAGCACGAAAGCGUGGGGAGCAAACAGGAUUAGAUACCCUAGUAGUC
This 460-nucleotide ribosomal RNA is filed under the name uncultured bacterium. RNAcentral describes it as "partial 16S ribosomal RNA". It matches the Rfam family "Bacterial small subunit ribosomal RNA", at positions 338 to 795 of the family's 1533-position model. The record is from RNAcentral.